Molecule: long non-coding RNA, 3411 nt
Organism: Portunus trituberculatus (swimming crab)
Lineage: Eukaryota; Metazoa; Arthropoda; Malacostraca; Decapoda; Portunidae
Exons: 2
Source: RefSeq, a predicted model, not a curated record
ACAUAGAAACCGAUAACAAGUAAAAUUGAAAACGAAGAAACAUGAAAUUGAUAGACAAAGUGAAUGAUUAGACAAACAAACAAAGAUAGGAAACAAUGAUAAGUAAAACAAGUUAGUAGAUCAUUCAAGAAACACAAAGAAGGAUAUAAAAACAAUGAUAAAUGAGAGAGAGAGUGAUUAUUGAAUACACACACACAAACACACAAAAAACAAACACACAGAAAAACAACAAUAACAACUAAAAUAAGAAACAACUAAAUGAAGAAACACAAGGAAAAAUAGAAAAAAACAAUGAUAAAUAAGAGAGUGAAAAAAUUGAACAAAACACAAACAAUUUAGAAGUUAACGAGAAUUAGUGAAUACUUUGAAACCAGACAUACAGACAGACAGACAAAAAAGACAGCAAAAAUAAUAUAGAUAGAUGUUAGUGAAGAAGAACUAGAAAACAAAGAAAUAAGCAAUUAAAAAACAAAAACAAAUAGUCAAAAUAGGGAGGUGUACAUUUCAAAACACACACACACACACACACACACACACACACACACACACACACACACACACACACACACACACACACACACACACACACACACACACAAGCCAUAAGCCAGAUAGAAGAUAGAACUAAGCCACUUUAACCCAGAUUACCAAGCCAGAUAAGCCAUAGAUUAGACAGUUAGCCAAAAGUAAGCCAUGAAAGGACAGAUUUUAAGCCACUAACAGCCACUAGACAGCAAAAAACAGCAUAAUAUGAACAGCAUGGAUUUAAAACGCACAAAUAUAAGACAGCAUUAGAGACAUAAGCCAGAGAUAAGCCAUGGAAGGACAAUGAAAGCCACUAGACAGCAAAACAGCAUAAUACAAACAGCAUGGAUUUAAACCGCACAAAUUCAAGACAGCGUUAGUCUUAAGCCACAGAUGAAAGGGAGAGACACAGUUUUAAGCCACUAAGCCACUAGACAGCAUUAAAUGGGCCACAUAAAUUUAGACAGCAUAGAUAGAUGAAGGAGAAAGCUUUGUAUUGGACACACACACACACACACACACACACACACACACACACACACACACACACACACACACACACACACACACACACACACUUACACUUUAGUUAACUAGCAUUGCCAUAAUAGAAUGAAGAAGAAGAAGAAGAAGAGGAGGAAGAAUUGAAUAAAGAGCAUAAACAGAGAGAAAGACAGAGAAAAUCAUUAACUAGGAGACAGCAAACAUACACACACACACACACACACACACACACACACACAAUUUAGUUAAUUAGCAUUGCCAAAAUAGAAUAAAGAAGAAGAAGAAGAAUUGGAUAAAAGAAAGCAUAAAAGAUAUAGAAUAAAGAAUAGAUAGCUAAAUAGAAGAGGAACAGCUCAAGCACCCCAGCAUUGUUUUUAGAGAGCACCCGUCAGCCAGCCAAUUAGAUCGUUAGGUCGUUAGAAAGGUGAAUCCAGUAAUGAGGUCAGCUAAGGUCAAGUUCCGUUCAUAGUGUCAAACCAAGGUCAUUUAUUGUAAGUAACAGGUCAGCUAAGGUCAAGUUCUGUUCAUAGUUUCAAACCAAGGUCAUUUAUUGUAAGUAACAGGUCAGCUAAGGUCAAGUUCUGUUCAUAGUUUCAAACCAAGGUCAUUUAUUGUAAGUAACAGGUCAGCUAAGGUCAAGUUCUGUUCAUAGUUUCAAACCAAGGUCAUUUAUUGUAAGUAACAGGUCAGCUAAGGUCAAGUUCUGUUCAUAGUUUCAAACCAAGGUCAUUUAUUGUAAGUAACAGGUCAGCUAAGGUCAAGUUCUGUUCAUAGUUUCAAACCAAGGUCAUUUAUUGUAAGUAACAGGUCAGCUAAGGUCAAGUUCUGUUCAUAGUUUCAAACCAAGGUCAUUUAUUGUAAGUAACAGGUCAGCUAAGGUCAAGUUCUGUUCAUAGUUUCAAACCAAGGUCAUUUAUUGUAAGUAACAGGUCAGCUAAGGUCAAGUUCUGUUCAUAGUUUCAAACCAAGGUCAUUUAUUGUAAGUAACAGGUCAGCUAAGGUCAAGUUCUGUUCAUAGUUUCAAACCAAGGUCAUUUAUUGUAAGUAACAGGUCAGCAAAGGUCAAGUUCCGUUCAUAGUUUGAAAUCGAGGUCAUUUAUUGUAACCGUUUGUAAAUUUAUUUAUUUUAAGGGCAGUGUUUUUAUUUUUGUUUGUUUGGGUUAGGUGAAGUUUUGUCUAACCUAACCUAAUCUACAAUUGUGUGACUAUGGUGUUAUAUCUUGAUGUGAAAGAUCCCACACAUUCUCUCUCUCUCUCUCUCUCUCUCUCUCUCUCUCUCUCUCUCUCUCUCUCUCUCUCUCUCUCUCUCUCUCUCUCUCUCUCUCUCUCUCUCUCUCUCUCUGUCUCUGUCUCUCUCUCUCUCUCUCUCUCUCUCUCUUUCUCUCUUUCUCUCUCUCUCUCUCUCUCUCUCUCUCUCUCUCUGUUCUUUAGAUAGUUAGACAAGCGCAGAGUAAAGUCUAUAUAUAUAUAUAUAUAUAUGAAAGGAGAAGAAAAUUAUGAUUAUAUAAAUACAUUAAUUGCAUACUGGACUAAGUGUAAUAUAAAUAUGUAGUGUGUCUUAUUAUUAUUAUUAUUAUUUUUAUUUUUAUUAUUAUUAUCUUUAAGUUACACAGUUCUCUUUUUCUUUUUCUCCUUGUCUGUCUGUCUGUUUGUCCUCAUUAUUAUUAUUAUUAUUAUUAUUAUUAUUAUUAUUAUUAUUAUUAUUAUUAUUAUUAUUAUUAUUAUUGUUAUUCUAAUGUUACACUACAAGAAUAUAUAAAUUUCUUUCUCUUUUUCUCAUUCAUAACCUUCUUGUCUGUCUGUCUGUCUAUCUGUCUGUCUGUCUGUCUAUCAUAUUCUUUUUACUCUUCAAAUAUCACAAUUGUACAUAAAUUUUUCAACUUUUAUUAGUAUUUCCUUUAUUCAUUGUCUCUCUCUCUCUCUCUCUCUCUCUCUCUCUCUCUCUCUCUCUCUCUCUCUCUCUCUCUCUCUCUCUCUCUCUCUCUCUCUCUCUCUCUCUCUCUCUCUCUCUCUCUCUCUCAUGCCACCAUUAUUUCAUCAUCAUUAAUCUGUCAUAAUACAAGAAUCAAUCCACGUUUGAUUAUUACUACUAUUAUUAUUAUUAUUAUUAUUAUUAUUAUUAUUAUUAUUAUUAUUAUUAUUAUUAUUAUUGCUACUAUUAUUCGCCUGUAUUCGUCAGUGUCAGUCAGCGAUGUACAGAAGACCAGUUAGUGUGCAUUUUUCCCACAAGAAUCUGUAUAUUAGGACAUUUCUACCAUUAUUACCAUCAUUAUUUCAAUAUUGUCUCGUUUUUUCCCUUAUUUCGCCUUUUCAUUUCCUCCCACAAUGCACCAGAUCGUGUGAAAUGAAGAAUAUUCUUUACAAUACAAUAUUGCACAAACA